Long non-coding RNA from Haliotis rubra (blacklip abalone), 863 nucleotides. RefSeq lists it as uncharacterized. Lineage: Eukaryota; Metazoa; Mollusca; Gastropoda; Lepetellida; Haliotidae. The transcript is spliced from 3 exons. The record is from RefSeq and is a predicted model, not a curated record.
UCUUUCCGUAACCGCUAUUCGGCUUGUCCCGGAAUAACACGAGUUGGUCACGAACGAUCUCGCGUUAUUCCGCACUGGUUACGGAAAGGGGCGAGUGGUGGCGAAUGGAAUGGAGAGACUUGUCGUCUUCCGAUUGGUUAUUUUUCACCUGUCAAUUAUGAGCUGUUACUAAUUAUAGCAUGGGAUUUUCCCAAUGAAUAAAAUCUAUCAUGGUUUCGUUUAUGCCAUACUGCUAUUAUUUCUUUUAUGUCGAGCUAACGGCUUUGAUUCAAAUCAGUUAGAACAGAAAACAGCUGUAUCAGCACAAUGGCAGAUAUACCAUGGACACUGAUCUACAUUACUGCGGCAGUUGUAGUGUCGCUAAUCUUCAUCAUCGGUUGUGUGUGAUGUGCGCGGCGUGAAAACGGAACAUCGAAACACGAAGUGUCAAGACAAAUAGAGGAAAAACAAAGUACCAAAAAGACCCAAAGUGGAUCCAAAAAAUGCGGGUCGCAUCAUUGUCGAUCAUGAUUAUUAUGAUAAAGUUUAAGAAGGAUUUUAUGAUUUUUACGCGAAUGUGUUCGAUAAUCCAAGCUUCAGACCAUUACCUAAUAAUACCAGUAUAACCAUACCAACAUGUGUUUGAUAAGGAUUGGAAAGCCACAUUAACUCGGUGCUAACCUAGUGGCUGCAAGAGUUGAAUGAACCCCAGGGAGUUGAGAUUGAUAAUACGAUGUGCCGUUGAGACUGACAUCCAAUGAUCGAGGGGGGAAAUACCAGCGUCUUGAGCAUGUACAAGUUGCGUGCCUAUGUGCGCUAUAUCAAUAUCCCAUAAUAAUAUAAUAAUAAUAAUAAUUUUCUGUCUCUUUUGAGAGCAAUGUGAU